RNAcentral lists this long non-coding RNA (416 nucleotides) under Parus major (Great Tit). RNAcentral describes it as "lncRNA (ENSPMJG00000010300.1)". The record is from RNAcentral. Lineage: Eukaryota; Metazoa; Chordata; Aves; Passeriformes; Paridae.
GGCACUUCUCUAAGAUGAUGGUCCAGGACUGACCAGCAUGCCUAAUUCGGGAAAUCUUUAAAUGGCUUAACUUAAGGCAACAUGAAAAGAUUGCUGGAUGUGGAAAGAACUUUGUAGUGCACUGCAUCGCGAUUGUUCAGACUUCAAAGAAACCCUUAGAAAAACUGUAAAUAAGGACUAAGGCAUAAAAAUACACCAGCACCUGGGAAUACUCAGCACACUGCACACCAGAACAGAAUCCAAGCCCUGGCAAAGAGCCAGCCGCCGGGGAUAAAUCUGGAAGGGCUUAAUACAUGCUGAAGAACCGAUCCACUUCGAAGCAAACUAGGUUUCACUGGGGAAAAGCCAGCUUCAAAUUUAUCCUUAAGCUAAAACCUAUAAAAUGUUUGACAAAAUAUUAGAUAUCUUGAAACUGU